This 449-nucleotide ribosomal RNA is filed under the name uncultured bacterium. RNAcentral's name for it is "bacterial SSU rRNA". It matches the Rfam family "Bacterial small subunit ribosomal RNA", at positions 329 to 796 of the family's 1533-position model. The record is from RNAcentral.
CCCCAGACUCCUACGGGAGGCAGCAGUGGGGGAUAUUGCACAAUGGGGGGAACCCUGAUGCAGCGACGCCGCGUGGGUGAAGAAGUAUUUCGGUAUGUAAAGCCCUAUCGGCAGGGAAGAAUUUAGACGGUACCUGACUAAGAAGCCCCGGCUAACUACGUGCCAGCAGCCGCGGUAAUACGUAGGGGGCAAGCGUUAUCCGGAUUCACUGGGUGUAAAGGGAGCGUAGACGGCCAUGCAAGCCUGGAGUGAAAGCCCGGGGCCCAACCCCGGGACUGCUCUGGGAACUGUGCGGCUGGAGUGCGGGAGGGGCAGGCGGAAUUCCUGGUGUAGCGGUGAAAUGCGUAGAUAUCGCGCAGAACUCCGAUUGCGAAGGCAGCGUACCGGCGCCGGACUGACGCUGAGGCACGAAAGCGUGGGUAUCGAACAGGAUUAGAUACCCUGGUACC